Molecule: long non-coding RNA, 2187 nt
Organism: Lagenorhynchus albirostris (white-beaked dolphin)
Lineage: Eukaryota; Metazoa; Chordata; Mammalia; Artiodactyla; Delphinidae
Exons: 3
Source: RefSeq, a predicted model, not a curated record
ACAAGGCGGCUGAGAGGAUUAAGCGGUGGGGAUAGUGGGGACAGCAUGGGUGGGGCUAUCCGUCUGGCUGGCUCCAAGCCCAGGCUCCUUCCUGAGGAGUGCACGGAAGGCAAACGCUCGCACACGGACCGUCAGGACCCCUCUGCGCCCCCAGCAGAGACCGUUCAAGGACGAGGGCCCUGCUUCCUGGCCUGGGUCCCUUCUCGGACAGGGUGUUGACCGGCCCCCUGGGCUCCGUCUGCAGCCUUGACUCUCCGGGAAGAAGAGGCUGUGAUCCGCUGGACUGACCUGGGGUCACAGGUCAGAGGAUCUGAUUCCUCAGCAAAUCUGGGGAGACAGGGGAGGAUCCCUCAGAAUGAAGGAUGUGAACAACUCGCACCAGCAGAAGUGAUGAACCGCGCAGGGAAGAAGUUGCCAGAACAGUGGCAUGGCAGCCCCGGGCAGGAGGCGGGGCUGCGGGGACGGCCCUCGGGCUCUGCGUGCUGAGACACCCGGCGCCCGGCAGCCGUUACCCCACGCUCGCUUUGUAAUGACUCAUCAAGCCCCACGUCUGUGCUCCGAUUUAUCCUGCACACGGCAUCAUUCAGGAGGCCGGGGCCCUUCGCCGCGGGGACCAGAGGCUCCCGGCGUCCCUCGGAAGGGAUGGGAAGAGCGGCUCACAGCCGGAUCCGUAGCACUGCCUCGGGUGUAGACACAGCAUCUGGACCUUGGGCGGAUGACUUCUGCCCUCCGCUGCCCACCUCUGCCGAGCUGGGGCCCUCCUAGUCAGGCCAGCUUCCUUGCCCCCCGGACCCCACUGUGACCCAAAGGAGGACUUGGAAGACACCACGCGGCCCGGAGAGGCUGGCAGUGGGGUUGGUCAUCCUGGCUGCCACCCCACCCACCUGCGCAUCCCGUGCUGACUUGUGGCCACACUGCGCUCCCCCUGCUUUGGCUGCCAGAGAAAACACAGGACUCGGGGGGGUGGACCGUCCCGGCAAACGAUCCGGGGCCCACGUGGGCUCCGGGAUGCUACUCACUGUCAGCCUGAAGUUCCCUUCGCGCUGGUCUGGGGCGGCUGUGACCACCCCGUGUGGCUGGUUCCCGGGGCCCCGGCCGAGGGUCCGAGAAGCCGUGUUCUUCUCCACCCUCCUUUGGGCCACCUGCGCCGUCCUGUGGGGAGAGGUGUUUGCACAGACGGCAGAUCACUUAAUACGGCCGAUGGUUUUGCUGAAGAUGUGAGUAACUGAAACUAAGACUUCAGUUACUUGAAAGAGGAAAUGUGUUCCACAGACCCCACAGCCCGGCCGGGUGCCCCCUGUUCAUAAAAACUGAAUGUCGAUGGCGUCCAGGAGCCGGCGACCUCGGAGGAGGGUAUCGGCUGGCAGGAUGAGACCUGAGAUCGAGUGUCUCGGCCGUGAAACGUUUAGGCACGUGGCCGCCCGUGCAUCAGAGGGGCCGGGCGCCUCCACUGCUCUGGGCUGCGGGGCGUCCCAGCCUGGGAGGCGGGUCACAGCGGCCAUGCCUUCCACCCACCUCUUGUCGGGCUUCCCUUCCCCCACUGGUUGUGACAACCAAGAAUGUCCCCAGAUGGUGCCAGAUGUCUCCUGAGGGCACCGCAGAGCCUAGCGACAUACAGGCCAGCGGGCGGCGGGGGACGACACACCCCGCUCCGUGCCUGAGACGGCAGAGACCCCGCUGCACACGCGUCUGGGGAGGCCACUUUCGCUGGGCCUGGGGUGUUCCCUCCAAGGCCAGACCGAGCCACGCUGUCCUUGGCAGUGGGACCCUUCCGCGGGCCAGCCGGGAGCCCCCAGGAGUAGCCCAGCAGAAAUGCCGUCUUUGGGGCCUAAACACCAAAGGAGGCACAGCCCGACGGCCAGCCCGGUUCCAACUCCAGGUUCCAACUGCAGGGGAUGCGGGUUCGAUCCUUGGUCGAGGAACAAAGAUCCCACACGCCUCGCGGCGCGGCCCCCAAAAAAUAUGUAUCAGGGCUGCCUGUGGUGGGCUGAAUGGCGGCCCCAGAAGGCAUCAGGUCCCUCAUGCCAGAACCUGUGAAUGUUACUUCAUAUUGUAAAGUGGUGUCCCUCAGGGGACUGCCUACCCGUCCAGGGCAGGGCCAGCCAUGAGCAGCAUGGGCCUGUCCUCAGGUCUGGGAGGGGAGGUGGGUGAGGAGGCCAGGUCCUAUCCUCUGGCCUGUCUCCUGUC